GUCCCGUGGCCAGGAGCAUGGGCUCUGGAGUUGAAGAACCCAGGGCUGCAGACUUCUGAUCUGUCUUCUGGUCUCAGGGCUCAGUUCAGUUUGUCUCUGGAGGAAGGGCAGUGUGGGUUUUGGCCUCUGUGGGCUCUAAAGAAAGGGUGACUGGGUCCUGGGCCGCUGUGUUACCCAUCAGUAGCAAUGGCACAGUUAUUUCUUUGGUCAUGUCUACUGUCCAUGCAGACAGUGCUGUGAGACGCUGAGCCAGUAGGGUACUGGUUGGGAACUGCGCAUUCCUGGCUCCUGUCAUUGCCUGGCCCAGUGUCUGCCACCUCCUUAAAAAGCAUCCAACAUCUGUUUGUGCUGAGAAAGUCCUUUCCCUUCUGGACACACACCACACACCCCACCUCUCAUCUCCGACAUUGGGAUAUCAGAAACACACCCCACCCCACCCCAGACCUGUGCUGAAAUGUUCAAGAGUGGCAGACAAGCCAGGCAUGGUGGUGCACUCCUUUAAACCCAGCAAGUGGGUGAUAGAGGCGGGUGGAGCUCUGUGAGUUUAGAGCCAGUCUGGUCUACAUAGCAAGCACCAGGACAACUAGAACUCUAUAGAGAAACCCUGUCUCCCUCCUUUCAGAGCGUGCCUGACGGAGUCCUCUAAGGAUCUUUAAAGUCCUUAACCAAGGAGGAACUUUUCGCUUUCGCCAGAAUAUCAAGUUUGUCAUCUAGGUUGACCAAGUAAACCUGGUGUUUUCUGGGCUGCUGGCCGAGGCUUAGCUUUAAGCCUUUAACUUGGAUGGUGGAUGUGGGAACCGCUACUCUUUCUGUGUGUCCGAGGCUUCCAGCCUGGAGGUUCUCGGCAGUGUGCAGCAUGAGGCCUGAGCAUCCUGGAGCCGUCCUAGCAGGUGCCCAGACCCUGUAGGGGCCUUGAGGCUCUGGUUCCGUGGUAGGGCAUAGAAAGGAGCAUUUCAGGCCAGUGGGCAGAACUACAGAGUUUCAUUAGCUUAUAAAUCUUGUGCAUUUUCUUCUUGAUUUUUUUUUUUUUUUGAGACAAGGUCUUAAGAGCCUUCUGCCUCUGCUCCCACCAGGUCGAAUGACGUUAGGGUGACAGGGUGCGUCCCGCAGUUCUGGCUGAUGGUGUCUGCCAGCACUACCAGGGGCCCACUGUGCUCAGGACAGACUGUGUGGUGCUCUGGGAACUGUUUAUUUAGUCAAAAGGAGUCAUUCCAUGGGUCCUGUGAGGUAGUUCUGGGUCCUAUCUAGGCUUUGCCUUAUGCCCUCCACUGCUCGUCAUCACGUUAGUCCCUUGACACUGGCCACUGGCCACCAGCCACCAUGGCAGACCCUUCCCAGGGUGCCUCAUGGUCCGGCUUUCCCUAACAGUCCUUAAUUCCCAGAGAUCUCUUGAGGCCGUGAUGCCCACCAGAAGCAUUGUGCUCGCUUGGCGCAGGCUUUGUUAGAAGCUCAUGGCUGACUACCCUGCUUACAGCUAGGGAACGGCACUCAGCUCUCCCAAGCUGGGCUGGCUGCCCGGGAAGGUGCUUGGCGAGCUCAGCCAACGUCCCCUGGGAGCCGGUGUGGUUCUCUGUUACCUCUUGUGGAACAUUUCUAGGGAGCCCAUUCUUUUGUUCCUAUCCUGUCUCCUCUGGUUAAAGCCUGCCAGAGAGCCCCUCAGCCCUCGGGUAAACAGUGAGAUGUUCCCUUCACCCCGGUGGUCAUGGGAGAACACUUCCCAGAUCCCCUCCCCAUCCUCAGGGCUCUGGGCUGUCCUCCUGCUGCUGGAACAGGGUCCUUCCCACAGCCCUCUGGAGGGAGGGAUUUGGAUCUGGUCAUCAGAGCAUCCUCAGUAAACUCUGCUGGCUUUCAAGCCCUCAUACCCUUCUCCCCACCUGGCUUCCUAGUUGCUUGAACUGUGUCAAAAAGAAACAAGGAAAGGAAAGCCAGCAAAGAAGCUUAACAGAUAAAGCUUGAUAACGUGAGUUUAACUCCCAGAACCCAUGUGGGAGAAAGAGGAAACUGAUUCCCACAAGUUGUCCUCUGGCCUACACACACAUUCACACGCACGUUAAUAAGUAAAAGGAAAAUUAACUCAAGUGCUGGUGGCGCAUGCCUUUAAUCCCAGCACCCUGGUGACAGAAGCAGGCAGGUCUCUGAGUUCGAGGCCAGCCUGGUCUACAGAGCCAGGACAGACAGGGCCACACAGAGACACUUUGUCUCAAAAAGACAAAAGAAAGAAAGAAAACUAGAAAAAGAAGGAGAGAGCUGUAACUCCUGCUCCCUGGACCCAGAGCCCCGGAGCAGCAGCCUAUCCAGAAUGUGCCUUCUCAGCCCUACCAUGCCUCUGUGUUGGCACCUCCCACCAGCCAGCCCUGGCAGUGAGAGGGACACCUGCCAGCCAGUCCCAGCAGCUUCCGGGUCAGCACCCAGCAUAGCCAAACACAUCUCUAGCCUGGAGCAACUGGAGACUAGAACAGGAGCCUUCCACCUUCCCUGAGGCCACCACAGGCUCUCUCAGAGUCAGGGGCCAGCACCAGGCCACACAUACUACCUCAGCAUCUAGCAUCUGUCACAGCAUUGUGUGGUCACAGAUUGUCCAUCAAGAUUGUGCUCAGAGCCUGGUCGCCUCACAGAGGCUGGCUGACACCCUCCCUCUGCACUGGCCCCGCAAACCGCUAUGGGAUUCCUUCCUGCAUCCCAUGGCGUGCUCCAGCGAGCAAGCCAGGCUUCUGUCUCCUCCUGCCUUGUUUAGCUCUGACUUAAAUACACCUCGAACCCCCAAACUGUGAGUAGAGUCAGAAAUGGGAGUAGCUUGUUUGCAGUGAGAAAGGGACCGCUUUUUCAUAUUUUCAUCACAAGGGGUCUUGCUUCAAGAGAACCCCUAAAAACUGUGUAUAUGAUGCUGAUGACCAGGGUGAUGAGGACUGUUGUGAUACCUAGAAUAAUUCACAGAACUUGACUGCAGGCUUUGUGUAAACAACAGUAAUCAAGAGUGUAGGGCUGGAAAGGUAGCUCAGCACCCCCACGGGGGCUCGCAGCUGCUGCUAACUCCAGGGGAUCUGAUCCUCUCCUUCUGACCUCCUCAAGCAGCGCACACAAACAUAAGCAGGUAAAUAAUAAUUUGGAGACUGGUACCCAUGGCAAAAAGUAUCCUCAAACUUAAAAAAGUUAACUAAGCCUUCACUCUGUCUGUCACAUAACAACUUCUUCUAGAUGACACCUUAGAGUUCAGCUUCAUCAUUUAGAGGCCAUGGAAAUCCUAGGGGCUGAAGAACUGUAUGUUGCGAACUAUUCCAAGUGGGUCUUCACGGAGAAAGAAGUCAGGCACGGUGGUGAAUGCCUUUAAUCCUAGCACUCGGAAGGGAGAACCAGGCAGACCUCUUAAGUCCAGGCUAGCAUGGUCUACAGAGCAAGUUCUAGGACAGACAGGGCCACACAGAGAAACCCUGUCUCAAAAAAAAAAAAAAAAAAAAAAAAAAGAAAGAAAGAAAGAAAGAAAAGAAAAGGGAAAGGGAAAAGAGAUAACAAAUAAAUAGAGAAGAAAGCACAAGCCCCUGUAACUUAACUGAGUAGCCAGUGACUUCUGCCCGCCCGUGGGGUCCUUUCGUUAUGAACCCGCUCGAAAGCUAGCUUCUGUUUGUAUCCUCCUUCCCGUAAGCCGCCAGGUCCACAGUGGCAAGCGGUGAGGCUCCCUUUGACCACGUUGUCCAACGCUUGCACAUUGUGACAGCCAUAAACAAAGAUGGUGGCUUCAGUGGAAGUGCCGACCAAACCUCACAGUGAGUCCCAUAGUUGGUGCCCAGCCCCACCGCACCCCAGCCUAGAGAUGGCCCCACACUCGCUCCUUGUCAGUAUCCAGGCUGCAGACUCAGCCCAGGCAGAACUCAGUCUGCAGCAGUCAGAAUGAGACCCACCCACGACGCACAAUGAACCAGGCGAUUUGUUGGUUUUCUGUCUCUAUAGUGUCUGUCUUCUGCUAGGAUAGAAAACUAUCAAACCCAUUGAAAAAUAGAACGUAAAUUGAGUUAAAUAAGACUGUCCAUCCCCAGGCUGGGGACCACAAGCCUGCAAGUACUCCUGCUGUGUGUGUUGUGCUGAGCACCUGAUAGUCUUGCAAAGAGCUGCUUCCUAGCACAUUGAUGGUUUACCCUGGGAUGCACCUCCUACCAUAAGGAGAACUCCAUUAAAACCAGACCAGGUUUCACAAAUACCAUACCAAGCUGGGCAAUGGUAGUGCAUGCCUUUAAUCCUAGUACCCAGGAGGCAGAGGCAGGAAGAUCUCUGUGAGUAAAAGGCCAACCUAGCCUACAACUCUAGUUCUAGGACAGCCAGGACCUCACAAAGAAACACUUGUCUGGAGGAAAAAUAGAUAAAUAAAAUCCAUCCUGUCCAAACACAAAUCCGUCUCACUAACACAUGUGUGUUUCAUGGCACGGUACCUGUGGAGUGGCUUUUCAUUUCAAUCCUGCGCUCUCACUGUUUCUACUGAAGCGCCCAGGCAGAAGAGAGCUACGCUCAGGUGAGGCUGAACUGAGUGUGGCAAAGCUAAGCGCCCUUCGCACAGCGCUCUUGCUGGAAAACUGGCAUUCGCAGUGGGCGCACACAAAUGGAAUGAAAGUCAUUGUGUAAAAAGUGUAAAAUAUUUGAGGGGCCAGAAGGUCACAAAGUACAAAACUGUCCAGAGAAUUUCCUCCCGCACUGUGCCUGUCUCCUGCCUUGUGGGCCAAAUGUAUCCGUUGGGUGGAGUGACCGAUUUUCUAUUCCUUUGCUGGUGUCAUAGCAAAGUCAGAAUUUUUUUUUUUUAAUUUGUAACGUUUCUUACAAAGUUACUUUAUGGUUUACAAGCAACACUGAUGCAGAAGGAUAUGUCGAUUUUCUUAAACUAAGUAGCAGCAUUUUGUUUACAGGGCUUGGAUAUUGUAGAUGACGUGGGAUCCGGUCCCUCAUCCCUAGCACUAGAUCUAGGUCCUAGGGAGAUGCCGCCAUUGUGCUGUUCCCUGGUGUACCACAGAUCAGUGAAAGUGUUUUAUCUUUUUUACGUCGUUUGUAUGGAUUGGAUUUUAUAAUGGUAAGAAAACAGAGUGUUGUAUUUUGAGCUGAAAUUUGUGUAUGGUCAAGUAAUUCUGUUUUAUGUAUUGGAAGUCCGUUUACAACUUGAACUAUUUUCUAGAAGAGUGUUGGACAAAAUGAAUUGUCUUCAAGCUGUUUCAUUAACUAAUAAAGUCAUUUGAUGGGGAA
Molecule: long non-coding RNA, 5220 nt
Filed under: Mus musculus (house mouse)
Lineage: Eukaryota; Metazoa; Chordata; Mammalia; Rodentia; Muridae
Description: long non-coding RNA chr8:117210777-117215997
Source: RNAcentral